UACGGAGGAUGCGAGCGUUAUCCGGAUUUAUUGGGUUUAAAGGGUGCGUAGGCGGGCUUUUAAGUCAGCGGUAAAAAUUCGGGGCUCAACCCCGUCCGGCCGUUGAAACUGGGGGCCUUGAGUGGGCGAGAAGAAGGCGGAAUGCGUGGCGUAGCGGUGAUAUGCAUAGAUAUCACGCAGAACCCCGAUUGCGAAGGCAGCCUUCCGGCGCCCUACUGACGCUGAGGCACGAAAGUGCGGGGAUCGAACAGG
Molecule: ribosomal RNA, 252 nt
Filed under: uncultured bacterium
Lineage: Bacteria
Description: partial 16S ribosomal RNA
Rfam family: Bacterial small subunit ribosomal RNA
Source: RNAcentral